GACGAACGCUGGCGGCGCGCCUAACACAUGCAAGUCGAACGAGAGAUGAGGAGCUUGCUCUUCAAAUCGAGUGGCGAACGGGUGAGUAACGCGUGAGGAACCUGCCUCAAAGAGGGGGACAACAGUUGGAAACGACUGCUAAUACCGCAUAAGCCCACGGCUCGGCAUCGAGCAGAGGGAAAAGGAGCAAUCCGCUUUGAGAUGGCCUCGCGUCCGAUUAGCUGGUUGGUGAGGUAACGGCCCACCAAGGCGACGAUCGGUAGCCGGACUGAGAGGUUGAACGGCCACAUUGGGACUGAGACACGGCCCAGACUCCUACGGGAGGCAGCAGUGGGGAAUAUUGCACAAUGGGGGAAACCCUGAUGCAGCGACGCCGCGUGGAGGAAGAAGGUCUUCGGAUUGUAAACUCCUGUUGUUGAGGAAGAUAAUGACGGUACUCAACAAGGAAGUGACGGCUAACUACGUGCCAGCAGCCGCGGUAAAACGUAGGUCACAAGCGUUGUCCGGAAUUACUGGGUGUAAAGGGAGCGCAGGCGGGAGAACAAGUUGGAAGUGAAAUCCAUGGGCUCAACCCAUGAACUGCUUUCAAAACUGUUUUUCUUGAGUAGUGCAGAGGUAGGCGGAAUUCCCGGUGUAGCGGUGGAAUGCGUAGAUAUCGGGAGGAACACCAGUGGCGAAGGCGGCCUACUGGGCACCAACUGACGCUGAGGCUCGAAAGUGUGGGUAGCAAACAGGAUUAGAUACCCUGGUAGUCCACACCGUAAACGAUGAUUACUAGGUGUUGGAGGAUUGACCCCUUCAGUGCCGCAGUUAACACAAUAAGUAAUCCACCUGGGGAGUACGACCGCAAGGUUGAAACUCAAAGGAAUUGACGGGGGCCCGCACAAGCAGUGGAGUAUGUGGUUUAAUUCGACGCAACGCGAAGAACCUUACCAAGUCUUGACAUCCCUUGACGAACAUAGAAAUAUGUUUUCUCUUCGGAGCAAGGAGACAGGUGGUGCAUGGUUGUCGUCAGCUCGUGUCGUGAGAUGUUGGGUUAAGUCCCGCAACGAGCGCAACCCUUAUGGUCAGUUACUACGCAAGAGGACUCUGGCCAGACUGCCGUUGACAAAACGGAGGAAGGUGGGGAUGACGUCAAAUCAUCAUGCCCUUUAUGACUUGGGCUACACACGUACUACAAUGGCGUUAAACAAAGAGAAGCAAGACCGCGAGGUGGAGCAAAACUCAGAAACAACGUCCCAGUUCGGACUGCAGGCUGCAACUCGCCUGCACGAAGUCGGAAUUGCUAGUAAUCGUGGAUCAGCAUGCCACGGUGAAUACGUUCCCGGGCCU
This 1332-nucleotide ribosomal RNA is filed under the name uncultured bacterium. RNAcentral's name for it is "bacterial SSU rRNA". It matches the Rfam family "Bacterial small subunit ribosomal RNA", at positions 28 to 1381 of the family's 1533-position model. The record is from RNAcentral.